Molecule: ribosomal RNA, 371 nt
Filed under: uncultured organism
Description: partial 16S ribosomal RNA
Rfam family: Bacterial small subunit ribosomal RNA
Source: RNAcentral
GUAGGUGGCAAGCGUUGUCCGGAAUUAUUGGGCGUAAAGCGCGCGCAGGCGGUUCUUUAAGUCUGAUGUGAAAGCCCACGGCUCAACCGUGGAGGGUCAUUGGAAACUGGAGAACUUGAGUACAGAAGAGGAAAGCGGAAUUCAACGUGUAGCGGUGAAAUGCGUAGAGAUGUGGAGGAACACCAGUGGCGAAGGCGGCUUUCUGGUCUGUAACUGACGCUGAGGCGCGAAAGGCGUGGGAAGCAAACAGGAUUACGAUACCCUGGUAGUCCACGCCGUAAACGAUGAGUGCUAAGUGUUAGGGGUUUCCGCCCCUUAGUGCUGCAGCUAACGCAUUAAGCACUCCGCCUGGGAGUACGGCCGCAAGGCUG